GGUUUAUAAACUCAUCAAACCAUGUUUUAAUGUUUUCAGAGCACCAGAAGCAUCAUAAAUAUGCAUUCCAAACAUCAGAGUUAUCUGUUAUCUUUCUGUGCUUGUUUAUAAUUUUCCCACGAGAUGAUUUCCUAAUUAUAAACUUUGAUAUUAUUUUCUCUACCCAGUUCUUGUUCUCACAAGGGUUCCUUGAACAUCAAAAUUGCAAAAAUGAUGCUAAAAUAGCCAAACUAUGACCAUAGCUGAGUUUGAGCGUUUUUCCAAAUCUGCUAUUUUUUGCAUAAUUUUUGAAAUUCAUAGUGCUAUUCACCAAAGUGAGCAUUGUUGUGAAUUCAAUUUGAAUUUAAAAUUUAAGACCAAAAUAGCUCUCUUUCAAUUGUCAACAAUUCCCACUUUAGUUUAUAACCCAGUUUAUCGCAAUUCAGACUUGUUGCUUUUCUUACACAUGAAUUGUGGCACCUGUGGUUUAACCCCACGUCAUCGCAAGACACUGCGGAUGGUAGACAAGUGAAAU
Molecule: non-coding RNA, 514 nt
Organism: Pelobates cultripes (western spadefoot toad)
Lineage: Eukaryota; Metazoa; Chordata; Amphibia; Anura; Pelobatidae
Source: the annotation of a GenBank genome assembly